CUUUGGGAAUGAUAGAGAUUCGAUGAUUAGGUCAACCUUAAUUGAGAGGAAUUGACUUACGCUUAAAUUUCGGGACGAAAUUUCUUUAAGGAGGGUAGAUUGUAAUACCCCGAAAAAUCCAAAUUAAAUUCCGUGGAUUUUUAGAAAUGAUUUCACGAUAGUGGGAGCGAGUACGAGGCUCGGAGAAGUUGUGGAAUUAGUUCGAACGAUUAAUUUUCGAAAAAACGAACGUUAUUUAGGGGCUCGCGAAAGUUGACUUUUUAUACGUUCAAAAUUUGGGAAAACUUUCUUCAUGAAAGUUGUAGAGCUCGUCGAUACGAUCGCGUGCAUAUGCGGAACGCAAAAAUCGGAGUUCGUAUGAAUUAGUUAUGAUUUUUUGAAAAAGUUUCCAAUUUAGUAUAAAGCUUCCAUUUUUGGAAAUUUCCAAAAAUAAAAACAGAUUUUUCCAAAAUUGGAAAAUCUGCUGCGAUUUUAGUUCCCCGCCGGAAAUCGCCUCCAAAACUUCGAUCGACGAUUUCUUCCUCCUCCGGCCACCGAUCCUCACCAAACUUCUUCCAUUGGCUUCGUAUGGUCCUUGCGCACCUGUCUGUGGCAGCCUUUCACGGCGGCGCGGCCUGUAGCGGCGGCGGCAAGCCCGGUCCGAUUUAAGCUCGAUUUUGGUCAACGCCGGUUUUCUCCUAGCUCCGGCCACCAAAACUUCCGAUCCUUGGCUUCAUGAACUCCCCUCAACCUGCUGAUCAUCAUACUAGGAGGAUUGCACCUAGAGUGACCGGUUUCACGUUCGUCGGAGCUCGUGGGUUCCCCUUGAUGUUAUUAACAACUCUCUAGAAGGCAUCGAGGCCUGAAAUUGAAGCUUUGACGUCGAAAUCGAGCCUUGCCGGAUUCUGCAAAAUUCUGGAAUUUUUCCGACCACCGAAGCUUUCGAUCGGUAUAUCUCGAGCUACAGACCAUAUUUUUCUGUGAUUCUUGAACCAGUGAGUUCUUCUUGAGUUUCUUAACAACUCUUCAGAAGGAAUCGAAGCCUUAAAUUGACGUUUUUACGUCGAAUUGGAGCUCGCCGUUUUCUGCAGUUUCUCGCCGGUUUCUGGAAAAUUCCGGCCACCUUCAUACUGUUCAAGGUGAUUGACGGUUUAAGUUGGUGGACGAUUGUGGAUCGUAUUCUGAGCUGUUGAGAAGACGCAGCGGGAUUAGAGCGGGUAAUCCUACAGGACAGGAGAACCAGGACGGUGAUCGUGCGGUUAGAGCAAUUGUUAGAGUUUUACAGCAAUUGUACGUUGUGAGGUGUGUUAUGCUCAUUUGAGCUUUACAAUAUUGCUUGUGAGAGUGAAUUGUAAUAAUGAACUCGAAGUUUCGAGAUUUGGAUUUUGUAAUUGUAAUUAUUCAUGUUUCGGAUUUGAAUUUAUUAUUCAAAAUUCGGGGCGUGAC
Molecule: long non-coding RNA, 1425 nt
Organism: Rosa rugosa (rugosa rose)
Lineage: Eukaryota; Viridiplantae; Streptophyta; Magnoliopsida; Rosales; Rosaceae
Exons: 4
Source: RefSeq, a predicted model, not a curated record